UCGCACAUCUUGUUGUCUGAUUAUGGAUUUUUCGCGAAACCAUUUGCUCAUAUGGCAAGAUGUGUAUCCG
This 70-nucleotide antisense RNA is filed under the name Bacillus anthracis str. A0193. RNAcentral describes it as "RNA-OUT". It matches the Rfam family "RNA-OUT". From Rfam's summary of the family: Transposition of insertion sequence IS10 is regulated by an anti-sense RNA which inhibits transposase expression when IS10 is present in multiple copies per cell. The anti-sense RNA (RNA-OUT) consists of a stem domain topped by a flexibly paired loop; the 5' end of the target molecule, RNA-IN, is complementary to the top of the loop, and complementarity extends for 35 base-pairs down one side of RNA-OUT. The record is from RNAcentral. Lineage: Bacteria; Bacillati; Bacillota; Bacilli; Caryophanales; Bacillaceae.